This is a long non-coding RNA of Scylla paramamosain (green mud crab), 597 nucleotides long. RefSeq lists it as uncharacterized. The transcript is spliced from 3 exons. NCBI's taxonomy places the organism in Eukaryota, Metazoa, Arthropoda, Malacostraca, Decapoda, Portunidae. The record is from RefSeq and is a predicted model, not a curated record.
CACACACAGAGGCAGGCAGGCAAGCGGGGUAUAUAAGGGAGGCGGUGAGGCGGAAUCAAGCACAGUUCUCCUUCAUCUGUCUUCACGUGACCAACGAUGUUUGCUGUGGUGGUAAUGGUGUGUGUCCUGCUGGUGGGGGGCGUCUCUGCUGACAGCCACCUUGAGAAGGUCCCUAACUACGAUUUCGACUACGCUGUGCAGGACGCAGAGAGUGGUUCAAAUUUCGGCCACCAGGAGACCCGCAGGGACGGCCAGACAUCAGGGAGCUACCGCGUGGUCCUGCCUGACGGACGCCUGCAGGUGGUGACGUACACAGCAAGUCCCGCGGGUUUUGUAGCGGAGGUGACAUACGAGGGUGAGGCUGUGUUCCCUCCGCCACCUCCCUUCGAUCCAUAUUAUCACCACCACGGACACGCUCCCUUCCACCCAGCUCCUCCUCCUCCUCCUCAUUUCGUUCACGACCAGCACCAUUUCCAUCAUGGCUCUCUCGUGUACUAAAAUGAUUCUGUCGGUUCUGUACUAGGUUUGUCUGUCCGGUUCUUAUCCAUUGCUACUGUUUCGGCUCAUUCGUGUUUCCUGAAUAAAUUAAUCGAUCAG